Molecule: non-coding RNA, 826 nt
Organism: Nicotiana tabacum (common tobacco)
Lineage: Eukaryota; Viridiplantae; Streptophyta; Magnoliopsida; Solanales; Solanaceae
Source: RefSeq, a predicted model, not a curated record
UGGAUUAGCGAAAAAAACUUAAAUUCCUCGCUAAAAUUGGUGCUAAAUAUUAGUGCCUUUAUUUUAGCUACAAAAUUAGCGAUGAAUGCUGGGCGACAAAAAAUAUUGAAACUUAGCGACGGAUUUAACAUCCAAUAAUCCGUCGUAGAAUUCAAUUUACUUAUCAAGGCAUUCGAAAGUUAUCUGCGACAAAAUAUUCCGUCGCUAAUUUCCUAAAAUAUAAUUUCAUUAAUUACUAUUAGAGACAGAAUUUCGGUCCGUCGCUUUUCCAUCGUUAAAUUUCCGUCCCCAAAAUUAAAUUACCCUAGGUAAAAGACCUUCCUAACCAUUAGGGCACAAACACCCUAAUUUCUCCAUUGUUCUUCCUAUUUCUUCUCUUCCUCUUCUUCGAAGGCACAAACACUGAGACUUCAGCACCUCCACUUUUUCAGUCGACGGUCCUCAACAAAGGCUGAGACCUCAGUAGCGUAGGUUUUCAGUCGAGGGUUUCCUAUUUUUGCAAAGGGGUUUUGUUCUCAGAGAUCUAUGAAAUUCGAAGUCAUGUGUUUGUAGGAUUCUGAAACUCGAAAUUGUGCGUUGAUUUUAGGGAUUGCAUGUCCUUGAUAAGAGACUAUACUACUCAGGUUAAGUUGGAGCAGCCCAUUGCAGGCCAAGAAAAGGAGCAAUUGGAAAUAUGCCUCGAGGUAGAGGUCGAGGUAGCGCAUGCCGUGUAGGUAAAUCUUCUGUUAGGGGUAAUUUUUCUACUCGUGAAAAUAUGCUUGUUGUUCCCAUUCCCACAGUCAAUCCUCAACAAGGUGGUAUGAGUUCCUCAGGUGGACCGGAUCAC